This 371-nucleotide ribosomal RNA is filed under the name uncultured organism. RNAcentral describes it as "partial 16S ribosomal RNA". It matches the Rfam family "Bacterial small subunit ribosomal RNA", at positions 527 to 896 of the family's 1533-position model. The record is from RNAcentral.
GUAGGUGGCAAGCGUUGUCCGGAAUUAUUGGGCGUAAAGCGCGCGCAGUGGUUCUUUAAGUCUGAUGUGAAAGCCCCCGGCUCAACCGGGGAGGGUCAUUGGAAACUGGGGAACUUGAGUGCAGGAGAGGAAAGUGGAAUUCCACGUGUAGCGGUGAAAUGCGUAGAUAUGUGGAGGAACACCAGUGGCGAAGGCGACUUUCUGGCCUGUAACUGACACUGAGGCGCGAAAGCGUGGGGAGCAAACAGGAUUAGAUACCCUGGUAGUCCACGCCGUAAACGAUGAGUGCUAAGUGUUGGGGGGUUUCCGCCCCUCAGUGCUGCAGCUAACGCAUUAAGCACUCCGCCUGGGGAGUACGGUCGCAAAGACUG